ACGUAGGGAGCGAGCGUUGUCCGGAUUUACUGGGUGUAAAGGGUGCGUAGGCGGCUCUGCAAGUCAGAAGUGAAAUCCAUGGGCUUAACCCAUGAACUGCUUUUGAAACUGUAGAGCUUGAGUGAAGUAGAGGUAGGCGGAAUUCCCGGUGUAGCGGUGAAAUGCGUAGAGAUCGGGAGGAACACCAGUGGCGAAGGCGGCCUACUGGGCUUUAACUGACGCUGAGGCACGAAAGCAUGGGUAGCAAACAG
Molecule: ribosomal RNA, 251 nt
Filed under: uncultured bacterium
Lineage: Bacteria
Description: partial 16S ribosomal RNA
Rfam family: Bacterial small subunit ribosomal RNA
Source: RNAcentral